AAUAGAUAUAACACUAAACUAUAAAAUAUAAAUUAUCGAUAUGUUAAAUCCACUACAAUAAAAACGGUCUAUAGCGACACUUUUAAAUAUAGGUAGAUGUCAAAAAAGUGCUGCUAGCUAAAAUUACCAACACUUUUAAAAAGUGUUGCUAUAUGUGAGGUCGCUAGGUAUAUAGUGACAGUUAAAGAGUGUCGCUAUAACCUAAAAUAGUGCUACUAAUUUACCAACACUUAUUUAAGCAUUUAGCAACCGUCGAAACUCUAUCUCGUUGGCUGCGGUGGCGAAGGAGGACGACAGGAAAAGCUCUUCGUCUAGAAUUUCAAUGGAUUGAGUAAAGAGAGAAGAAAAGAUGAUAAUUGAUUUUUUUUUUUUUCUAUUUGUAAUCGGGCCAAAUAGACUAGGUAUGGUGGGUUGAGUAGAGUAAUCUUUUAUUUUUGGUUGGAUUGGGUUUUAUAUUUAGGCAUUAGUAGAUGUUUUUUUAAGUUUUAGCAUAAAUGAAACACUUACUUAAAAGUGUUCCAAACAUGUGUCCCUAUAAUCUAAUUCUGUUGUAGAUAUCGUAGGAAGAGACAUUUUUAAGUUUUUUUUUUUAUUUUGUAUCGAAGUGGACAAUUUAUGUAGGUUGUAAU
RNAcentral lists this long non-coding RNA (629 nucleotides) under Ananas comosus (pineapple). Its description in RNAcentral is "long non-coding RNA (ACOM_LNC040301)". The record is from RNAcentral. Lineage: Eukaryota; Viridiplantae; Streptophyta; Magnoliopsida; Poales; Bromeliaceae.